RNAcentral lists this non-coding RNA (208 nucleotides) under Rhizobium sp. Lineage: Bacteria; Pseudomonadati; Pseudomonadota; Alphaproteobacteria; Hyphomicrobiales; Rhizobiaceae. The record is from RNAcentral.
CGAUAACAGAGGCGUGAUGGUCUUUCCGGUUCUGCCGGAAAGUGAAAAGGGAACACGAUAGGAGCCUUGCUCUCAUUCGUGGCUGCCCCCGCAACUGUGAGCGGUGAGCCGGAAAACAACAGCCACUGAUGCCAAACUUGGCAUCGGGAAGGUGUUUUCAAGGUUACGACCCGCGAGCCAGGAGACCUGCCAUUACGAAGUGUCGUCA